UAUUUUUGGUAGCAGUAUGCGACCGUUUUACUGAGGUGUGAUUGACAUACAAAACACACUCAACCUUCUAAGUCAAAAAGCAAGUGUUACAGUAUGAAAGAUUACAUUAAUGACCUUACUUCUUCACCUCUUCCUUUACCAGGUGACCUUGGAAUUUCAUCCACUGAAGAGCCAGAGUCUAUUUUCCUUUCCUUUGAAUCUGGGCUGGCCCUGUAACUUGUUUUGGGCAAUAGAAUGUGGUGGAAGUGAUGGUGGGCCAGUUCCAGGUCCAGGUCUCAAAAGGCCUUGAGUGUUUUCACUUACUUCUGUGUUUGCCACGAGAACAUAUCCAGGUUAUCCCAUUUCUGGUUUCUUCUCAAAGUCUAGGUGUAGUGACCAGGAACAAUGGCGGGCCUCCAGGGAAAAGUGAGCUGCUUGGUUAUUAGGAGUGCAGAGAGCACCCAGGAAGGUAGGAGAAGUACUAGGAGAGCAGAGGAUCCCAGAAGGAAGAAAAGUGUUUCAAGAAGAAGGAAAUAAUAACAUUAGUCAAAUGACUAAGUUGAGGACUUGAGGAGACAAUGGAAUUUGAAGUGGAGGGCAGUAGUGACCUUACAGAGAACAGGUCCACUAAAGUGGUUUUGAGAGAAGUGAAAUGACAAAAGUUUGAGAAUGGGAAGUAUUUCCAAGUGCUCAUCUAUAAAUGGACUGCUUGAGCCCAUGUUGGCAAGCUUGUUGAAAAUGCAUUUCCAGGACUCACCCCAGAGCCAUGACCUCAGGCUGUUCUCUGCCCCCCAAGGAACACUUUGAUCAGGGUUAUCUGCUACCGGUGGGUGCUCACUGUAGCAGAUGCUCUUAGUGUCCCUUUUACAUGCAUUCAGCACUCACUAUUCAGUAUAUACUGCUUGCUUCACAAGGAAGCACAUGUGAUGUCUCUGCCCGAGGACUUUCCCUGGCCACUGGAGCAUGCUUG
Molecule: long non-coding RNA, 949 nt
Filed under: Homo sapiens (human)
Lineage: Eukaryota; Metazoa; Chordata; Mammalia; Primates; Hominidae
Description: long non-coding RNA NONHSAT222546.1
Source: RNAcentral